GAUCUGGCUCAGGAUGAACGCUAGCUACAGGCUUAACACAUGCAAGUCGAGGGGCAGCAUGAUUGAAGCUUGCUUCAAUCGAUGGCGACCGGCGCACGGGUGAGUAACACGUAUCCAACCUGCCGAUAACUCGGGGAUAGCCUUUCGAAAGAAAGAUUAAUACCCGAUAGUAUAGUAUUUCCGCAUGGUUUCACUAUUAAAGAACUUCGGUUAUCGAUGGGGAUGCGUUCCAUUAGA
This 237-nucleotide ribosomal RNA is filed under the name uncultured bacterium. RNAcentral's name for it is "partial 16S ribosomal RNA". It matches the Rfam family "Bacterial small subunit ribosomal RNA", at positions 15 to 245 of the family's 1533-position model. The record is from RNAcentral.